This 674-nucleotide ribosomal RNA is filed under the name uncultured euryarchaeote. RNAcentral describes it as "bacterial SSU rRNA". It matches the Rfam family "Archaeal small subunit ribosomal RNA", at positions 17 to 697 of the family's 1478-position model. The record is from RNAcentral. Lineage: Archaea; Methanobacteriati; Methanobacteriota.
UUUGAGCUGCCUUUUGGAAUCUGAUUAAGCCUGCGAGUUGAAAGGGUUUAGACCCUUGGCGGAUGGCUCAGUAACACGUGGAGAACCUGCCCUCAGGAGGGGGAUAAUCCCGGGAAACUGGGAAUAAUACCCCAUAGGUCUCGAAUGCUGGAAUGCUUCGAGGCUGAAAGCUGCGGCGCCUGAGGAUGGCUCUGCGGCCUAUCAGGUAGUAGUGAGGGUAACGUCCUCACUAGCCGAUGACGGGUACGGGCGUUGAGAGACGGAGCCCGGAGAUGGACUCUGAGACACGAGUCCAGGCCCUACGGGGCGCAGCAGGCGCGAAACCUNCGCAAUGCUCGAAAGAGUGACGGGGGGAUUCCAAGUGCCUGCGCAUAGCGUAGGCUGUUCAGAUGCCUACAGAGCAUCUGGAGGAAGGACUGGGUAAGACGGGUGCCAGCCGCCGCGGUAACACCCGCAGUCCGAGUGGCAAGUCGAUUUUAUUGGGCCUAAAGCGUCCGUAGCCCGGUCUGGCAAAUGGCUGGGUAAAUCGUCUGGCUCAACCAGACGAAUUCCGGGUAGACUGCCANACUUGGGACCGGUUGANGGAAAAGGUACUUCAAGGGUAGGAGUGAAAUCCUGUAAUCCUUUGAAGGACCACCAAUGGCGAAAGCGCUNUUNCAGGACGGGUCCNACGG